Molecule: transfer RNA, 74 nt
Filed under: Camelus bactrianus (Bactrian camel)
Lineage: Eukaryota; Metazoa; Chordata; Mammalia; Artiodactyla; Camelidae
Also listed under: 2 other names
Rfam family: tRNA
About the family: Transfer RNA (tRNA) molecules are approximately 80 nucleotides in length. Their secondary structure includes four short double-helical elements and three loops (D, anti-codon, and T loops). Further hydrogen bonds mediate the characteristic L-shaped molecular structure. tRNAs have two regions of fundamental functional importance: the anti-codon, which is responsible for specific mRNA codon recognition, and the 3' end, to which the tRNAs corresponding amino acid is attached (by aminoacyl-tRNA synthetases). tRNAs cope with the degeneracy of the genetic code in two manners: having more than one tRNA (with a specific anti-codon) for a particular amino acid; and 'wobble' base-pairing, i.e. permitting non-standard base-pairing at the 3rd anti-codon position.
Source: Rfam by way of RNAcentral
GGUGGUAGCUCAGUGGUAGAGUGUGUUUGUGCUUAACAUGCACAAGGUCCUGGGUUCAAUCCCCAGUAUCUCCA